This is a long non-coding RNA of Siniperca chuatsi (mandarin fish), 1303 nucleotides long. RefSeq lists it as uncharacterized. The transcript is spliced from 3 exons. The record is from RefSeq and is a predicted model, not a curated record. Lineage: Eukaryota; Metazoa; Chordata; Actinopteri; Centrarchiformes; Sinipercidae.
CUGUAUUACUUUGAUACUGAAGAAAACUUAAAAACGUACAUAUUUUUCAGGCAGGUUCUGCAGUUAUAAGAAGCGUCAUAUUUCUAUGAUUUCUAAGCGGGUUUAUUGACGUUUAUUCGCGAUGGGCAUGGAGACAAUGAUAUCCCAGUAAAGUUUGUAGAUGGCCUCUAUCACCGGAUUCCCACAUGCAAUCACUCCCCAUUGUGUUUACUGGAAUGACAAAGUCUGAACUGUCAGGAACUGAAUCCAAGUCUCUAAAAGCGGUAAUCAGAUUUAUCUUGGGACCCAACACCCAGAUUGGGAAACAGAAAUAACAUAACUUUCCUGGUCUGAAUGAAUGAAGCAGUGUAACCCAUGUAACUCUGCCCAGCUGGCACAGCCUGAGUUGUAAAGUCAUUUGGAGUAUCUUUGAGCACUGUGUAGCAAUGAAAGAUACUUUUGAGAGCUUUUGCAGUGUGUCUGGGGAGGAAUAUAAACCAUUUCAGAAUAAUAAUGUGAGAUUUGUGACUAACAGUUUUGCAAAGCGUAGUCUACCAUUUCGGGUAGUCUGUGAAGCCGACAACAACCCACUUAGGCCUGAAUCUCUAACUUGCUACUUACAUCAUUGAUACUUACAGAUAGUUACAGUGAGUUAUACACAGCAGUAUUUAAAGGCAAGUUCUGAGGCAGACAUUAAGUAAUUGGCAUAUCAAUCAUCCAUGAACCAAUGCAGAUGAGUAGAUGUUUCAGCAGAGAAUAAAAUGGGCAUGUUGGCUUCAUCAUUAUUUCUCACAGUGACCUGUUAUCUCUCACAGAGGAAAUAUAAAGCCGAAUGCAUCCCUAGCUGAACAUUCAUUGAUGGCGUGUGAGCUAUAGUGAUGGGUUUUAUUAAGUUCCUCUGAAGAGGGAAGAGCAUGUUUAAUUCAAUUCAAUUUUCUCACUUAGUGUAGAUUAGAACAGGUUAGCUAAUUUUCCCUUUGUCGGAGGCAUAAUCCUUAUAGGCCAAUUAUUGGUGAAAUAAUAUCAGAAACAAAGCUUUUGUCAUAUUUUCAAUCAGAAAACAAGAAAGAUGCCAAGUGCUGCAGAUGUAAACACAGUAAAAAUGUUUUUUUUUAGACAUGCUGUGUGGCUGUAUGGAUGGCAAUGUUGGUUUGUUGGUUGGUCCAGCAUCAACUAUUAGAUGGAUUGCCAUGAAAUUUUGUAUAGACAUUCGUGGUCCCCAGAGGAUGAAUCAUACUGACAUAUGCUGUAUGUGCUCGUAUCAUGCCUGUAGUGGUAUACUUUUUGUACUAUUAAACCAAAUAAAAUACACUUUUUCCUUUAA